GUCCAGGUGCUCUCCUGUGACCAACACAGCCCUAAUGAGCUCUGCAUAUUCAAAGCACAAGUAAUUGAUGGUCCAAUUUAAAGUGUGCAGAGGCCAAAUUUCUUUCCAGACUCUGAAGGAAAAACACCAGCUGAGGAAGAAUGAAGAACUGCCUGUUCUAAGUUAUUCUCCUUCUGUGGUCAUUCGAGCACCAGGAAGACCAGGUUUGACCCAUCAAGUACCUCAAGAAAGAAGUCAAUUACCUAAAGAAGUCAAGCAAAAAGGAAAGGACAAAAUGAAAAUCAUGUACCAGGGUACACGUCGAGGCUCCAAGCUGGAAUGAAUAUGGCCUUCAACAUACUCUUCAUCAUACAGAAGCUUGUGUUCAGGGCUUGGAUUUUGAAGUCAGACAGACCUGGAUUAAAAACCAAUUCAACUACCUAUUACAUAUGUGACCUAGGAAAAACAUCCAGGCAAGUGGAAAGCAUUUGCAUCAGCCCAGCAAUAAGAAGGACCAUAUUCUACUUGGGAAAAGGUAAAGACGUUUCAUAUGGAUGGAGCCUGCCAGGAAACCUGUCAUUCAACCCUUUGCAAUAAAACAGCUCCUCAUGAAUGAAGCAAAAUAAAUCAGAAGUCGUGGGCUUUUAAAUUCACUAAAUGAAAGCCCAGCAUGCAUGCAGCCUCCCUCCAAAUUAAUCACCAGAUUAAAUGCAAGAUGUGCACACCAAAUCAAUAGCUUGUGACAGAGACCUCCUGCCUGUGCUUCAGGAAAAUUCCAUUUCCUUUCAGAUGU
RNAcentral lists this long non-coding RNA (772 nucleotides) under Pongo abelii (Sumatran orangutan). RNAcentral's name for it is "lincRNA". Lineage: Eukaryota; Metazoa; Chordata; Mammalia; Primates; Hominidae. The record is from RNAcentral.